GAUUUGGCGGACGGGUGAGUAACACGUGGGUAACCUGCCCAUAAGACUGGGAUAACUCCGGGAAACCGGGGCUAAUACCGGAUAACAUUUUGAACCGCAUGGUUCGAAAUUGAAAGGCGGCUUCGGCUGUCACUUAUGGAUGGACCCGCGUCGCAUUAGCUAGUUGGUGAGGUAACGGCUCACCAAGGCAACGAUGCGUAGCCGACCUGAGAGGGUGAUCGGCCACACUGGGACUGAGACACGGCCCAGACUCCUACGGGAGGCAGCAGUAGGGAAUCUUCCGCAAUGGACGAAAGUCUGACGGAGCAACGCCGCGUGAGUGAUGAAGGCUUUCGGGUCGUAAAACUCUGUUGUUAGGGAAGAACAAGUGCUAGUUGAAUAAGCUGGCACCUUGACGGUACCUAACCAGAAAGCCACGGCUAACUACGUGCCAGCAGCCGCGGUAAUAAU
This 450-nucleotide ribosomal RNA is filed under the name Bacillus cereus. RNAcentral's name for it is "bacterial SSU rRNA". It matches the Rfam family "Bacterial small subunit ribosomal RNA", at positions 92 to 526 of the family's 1533-position model. RNAcentral also lists the same sequence under 1 other name. The record is from RNAcentral. Lineage: Bacteria; Bacillati; Bacillota; Bacilli; Caryophanales; Bacillaceae.